GAUGAAGAACGCAGCGAAAUGCGAUAAGUAAUGUGAAUUCAGAAUUCAGUGAAUCAUCGAAUCUUUGAACGCACAUUGCGCCCCUUGGUAUUCCGAGGGGCAUGCCUGUUCGAGCGUCAUUAUAACCCCUCAAGCUCAGCUUGGUGUUGGGGCCUGCUGCACUGGCAGCCCUUAAAAUCAGUGGCGGCGCCAUCUGGCUCUAAGCGUAGUAAUUCUUCUCGCUAUGGAGUCCUGGUGGAUGCUUGCCAUCAACCCCCAAUUUUUCUAUGGUUGACCUCGGAUCAGGUAGGGAUACCCGCUGAACUUAAGCAUAUCAAUAAGCGGAGGA
This 328-nucleotide unclassified non-coding RNA is filed under the name soil metagenome. RNAcentral's name for it is "partial contains 5.8S ribosomal RNA, internal transcribed spacer 2, and large subunit ribosomal RNA". The stretch from base 1 to 119 matches the Rfam family "5.8S ribosomal RNA", at positions 35 to 154 of the family's 154-position model. The record is from RNAcentral.